UCUGCCCAAUGAUAAAAUUUAAUGGCCGCAGUAUUUUGACUGUGCAAAGGUAGCAUAAUAAAUAGUUUUUUAAUUGAGGACUGGAAUGAAAGAGGGGAUGAAAUUUUAACUGUCUCAAAUUUAAUAAUAAAAAUUUAUUUUAAGUAAAAAAUCUUAAAUUUAUUUAAGGGACGAGAAGACCCUAUAGAAUUUUAAAUUUUUUAUAUUAAAAUUUAGUUAAUUUAAUUAAAUAAAUUAUAAUAAUAAAAAAUUUUUUAUUGGGAGGAUAUUUAAAUUUAAUUAACUUUAAAUUUUUUAUAACGAUAAUGAAUGAAUUUAUAAAAAUUUAUAAAUAAAAAAAAUAAAAUUACCUUAGGGAUAACAGCGUAAUAAAUUUUUAAAGUUCAAAUUAAAAAAUUUGUUUGCGACCUCGAUGUUGAAUUAAAAUAAAAUUUAAGUGUAGAAGCUUAAUAUUUGA
RNAcentral lists this ribosomal RNA (457 nucleotides) under Chrysis splendidula splendidula. RNAcentral's name for it is "partial 16S ribosomal RNA". Lineage: Eukaryota; Metazoa; Arthropoda; Insecta; Hymenoptera; Chrysididae. The record is from RNAcentral.